GACGUAGGGGGCGAGCGUUGUCCGGAAUUACUGGGCGUAAAGAGCACGUAGGCGGAGACUUAAGUCAGAUGUGAAAGACCGGGGCUCAACCCCGGGGUUGCAUUUGAAACUGGGUCCCUUGAGGGCAGGAGAGGAAAGCAGAAUUCCUGGUGUAGCGGUGAAAUGCGUAGAAAUCAGGAGGAAUACCAGUGGCGAAGGCGGCUUUCUGGACUGACCCUGACGCUGAGGUGCGAAAGCGUGGGUAG
RNAcentral lists this ribosomal RNA (245 nucleotides) under uncultured Syntrophomonas sp. Its description in RNAcentral is "partial 16S ribosomal RNA". It matches the Rfam family "Bacterial small subunit ribosomal RNA", at positions 524 to 768 of the family's 1533-position model. Lineage: Bacteria; Bacillati; Bacillota; Clostridia; Eubacteriales; Syntrophomonadaceae. The record is from RNAcentral.